UCCCUAGUGGCUCAGAUGGUAAAGCAUCUGCCUGCAAUGAGGGAGACCCAGGUUCAUUCCCUGGUUUGGGAA
Ovis aries (sheep) is the source of this 72-nucleotide transfer RNA. It matches the Rfam family "tRNA". From Rfam's summary of the family: Transfer RNA (tRNA) molecules are approximately 80 nucleotides in length. The record is from Rfam. Lineage: Eukaryota; Metazoa; Chordata; Mammalia; Artiodactyla; Bovidae.